RNAcentral lists this transfer RNA (73 nucleotides) under Chlamydotis macqueenii (Macqueen's bustard). Its description in RNAcentral is "Chlamydotis undulata macqueenii tRNA". It matches the Rfam family "tRNA". Rfam says of the family: Transfer RNA (tRNA) molecules are approximately 80 nucleotides in length. Their secondary structure includes four short double-helical elements and three loops (D, anti-codon, and T loops). The record is from Rfam by way of RNAcentral. Lineage: Eukaryota; Metazoa; Chordata; Aves; Otidiformes; Otididae.
GCUUGGCUAGCUCAGCUGGUACAGCAUGGGACUCUUAAUCCCAGGGUCAUGAGUUUGUGCCCCAUGUUGGGUG